GAUGAAGAACGUAGCGAAAUGCGAUAAGUAGUGUGAAUUGCAGAAUUUAGUGAAUCAUCGAAUCUUUGAACGCACAUUGCGCCCUUUGGUAUUCCUUAGGGCAUGCCUGUUCGAGCGUCAUCUACACCCUCAAGCACAGCUUGGUGAUGGGCGCCUGUCCCGCCCCCCACGGGGGCGCGGACUCGCCUCAAAUGCAUUGGCGGCCGGCGACCUGGCUUCGAGCGCAGCAGAAACGCGUACUCGGGGACCGGGCGCACGCUCCCAGAAGCCAACCCACCCAGUUUGACCUCGGAUCAGGUAGGGAUACCCGCUGAACUUAAGCAUAUCAAAAGCGGAGGA
This 339-nucleotide unclassified non-coding RNA is filed under the name soil metagenome. RNAcentral describes it as "partial contains 5.8S ribosomal RNA, internal transcribed spacer 2, and large subunit ribosomal RNA". The stretch from base 1 to 120 matches the Rfam family "5.8S ribosomal RNA", at positions 35 to 154 of the family's 154-position model. The record is from RNAcentral.